GUGAAUCAUCAAAUUUUUGAACGCAAAUUGCACUUUAUGGUAUUCCGGAAAGUAUGCCUGUUUGAGGGUCAGUUAAAUAAAAAUCGGUGUUGUUGCUGCCUUUCGUGGUGACGCGUCGGAAUUGGGUGUCUUACCUUCGGUUUAGUGACUUAAAAUUUUUGCAUGAAUUUUGAACGGUUUUAAAUCGCUUACCUUCGUUUGAGAUUUCG
This 209-nucleotide unclassified non-coding RNA is filed under the name Glomus sp. RNAcentral describes it as "partial contains 5.8S ribosomal RNA and internal transcribed spacer 2". The stretch from base 1 to 71 matches the Rfam family "5.8S ribosomal RNA", at positions 84 to 154 of the family's 154-position model. Lineage: Eukaryota; Fungi; Glomeromycota; Glomeromycetes; Glomerales; Glomeraceae. The record is from RNAcentral.